This 98-nucleotide transfer RNA is filed under the name Sporisorium scitamineum. RNAcentral describes it as "transfer RNA-Ala(TGC)". It matches the Rfam family "tRNA". From Rfam's summary of the family: Transfer RNA (tRNA) molecules are approximately 80 nucleotides in length. The record is from RNAcentral. Lineage: Eukaryota; Fungi; Basidiomycota; Ustilaginomycetes; Ustilaginales; Ustilaginaceae.
GGGAGCGUAGCUCAGUGGUAGAGCAUCUCAUUUGCAAUGAAGCUUCUAGCUUCAAUACAACCUUGAGAAGGUCUGGGGUUCAAUCCCCCACGCUUCCA